This is a ribosomal RNA of Ziziphus jujuba (common jujube), 119 nucleotides long. The record is from RefSeq and is a predicted model, not a curated record. Lineage: Eukaryota; Viridiplantae; Streptophyta; Magnoliopsida; Rosales; Rhamnaceae.
GGGUGCGAUCAUACCAGCACUAAUGCAGCGGAUCCGAUCAGAACUCUGAAGUUAAGAGUGCUUGGGCGAGAGUAGUACUAGGAUGGGUGAGCUACAGGGAAAUCCUCAUGUUGCACCCC